RNAcentral lists this ribosomal RNA (253 nucleotides) under uncultured bacterium. RNAcentral's name for it is "partial 16S ribosomal RNA". It matches the Rfam family "Bacterial small subunit ribosomal RNA", at positions 524 to 776 of the family's 1533-position model. The record is from RNAcentral.
UACGUAGGGUGCAAGCGUUAUCCGGAAUUAUUGGGCGUAAAGAGCUCGUAGGCGGUUUGUCGCGUCUGCUGUGAAAACUGGAGGCUCAACCUCCAGCCUGCAGUGGGUACGGGCAGACUAGAGUGCGGUAGGGGAGAUUGGAAUUCCUGGUGUAGCGGUGGAAUGCGCAGAUAUCAGGAGGAACACCAAUGGCGAAGGCGGGUCUCUGGGCCGAUACUGACGCUGAGGAGCGAAAGCGUGGGGAGCGAACAGG